Long non-coding RNA from Schistocerca gregaria, 861 nucleotides. RefSeq lists it as uncharacterized. NCBI's taxonomy places the organism in Eukaryota, Metazoa, Arthropoda, Insecta, Orthoptera, Acrididae. The transcript is spliced from 4 exons. The record is from RefSeq and is a predicted model, not a curated record.
CCCAAAUUGACAAACAUAAUUUCUGAUCUUGUCAAAUCUGAAAUCAGUGUCAAACAGAGUAGCCGAUGAAGUACUGAAGCGGUUUCGUUAGGGUAGAUGCUAGAUGAGAUGCGCGGUACAGAUAGCUACAGAAUUCAGCUGUAUACCUUAUUAGUGCUUGAUGAUUUAAGAUAAAACUGUGGAAAUUGUAACAUCACUGAGGAAUUUGGGUGAUGGGAGACACUCCAUCCAUACUGAAGAAGCAGAUAAAAUAAAGGGGCAUUACUCGGCAUGAUUCAGCAGGCCCUCUGUCAUCAGGGAUUUUGCCAUAAGUGACAGUCAGCAUGUAACAGUGAAGUGUUCACUGUGUGUGCUGAUUCUGAUCAUACAGAGUGUGAGUAGUAUCAAGAUGCUUCGUGAAAUCGAGUGUGAAUGCUUGGAGGAAAGACAAUAUCCUUUUCAUGGAACACUGUUGAGAAAAUUUAGAGAACCAGCAUUUAAAGCUGACUGCAAACUACUCUUCUGCUGCAAAUGAUAAAUCAUACAUGUCGUGUAAAGAUUACAAAGGCCCAAAAAUCUGCUUGAAGGGAACAAUAAGAAGUAUUAAAAGGGAAAACUAAAUACUAGAAGAACAGAAUUGAUAAAAAUUAUUGUAUCUAGUGUUUUUAGUGUAAAAAUGCUGGUAAGUUGCAAAAUACAGAAAGGAAAUUGUGGAAAUCAAUUGCAUUCUAAUUUUCUUUCGCCAGAACACAUUUAAAAUUGAAUCACGGUAUUUUCUUGAAUAUGCUGGAGCCAUGUUAUAAAUGACCCUGUAUUAUUUAAAAUGUUUGUUGAUAAUAUGUAGUACCACUAAAAAUAAUAAAUAUCCAGAAAUAUAUUUUA